CUCCCCUUUUUUGCUUUGCCCUCUUAAGUCUGACAGUGUCUUAAGUGGCCAGUACAGAGGGGUAUAAAAGUUCUCUCUUAAACCCAGAGGUGAGGCUGAAACUCUACUUUGGAUCCUGUUGAGAGGAACACAU
Apteryx haastii (Great spotted kiwi) is the source of this 133-nucleotide small nucleolar RNA. NCBI's taxonomy places the organism in Eukaryota, Metazoa, Chordata, Aves, Apterygiformes, Apterygidae. The record is from Ensembl.